UAUUUUUCCACAGUUAGGUAAACAGUUCAUUAAUCAAGUUAGUUUGGUUUCUUCCAGGGUCAAUAUUUGUUUGCAGAUUUUUCACACAAAUAUUUAUACACCCUUUAUAGCAAAGGAAAACUGUUACUGUUACAUUAUUUUGUCAAAGAGAAGAAAAAUAGAUUUUUUUUUCACUACAGGAAAUAUUAUUAGUUAAUUCUGCCAAUCUUCUAACAAAGAAGAGAAAGAGAUUGAUUGGUUCAAGUGUGAAUUUUAACAUCUGGAUUAAUCUUCAUUUCUAGGAUGAUAUAAACAGUUAAUGGAUUAAGAUUUUCUUGAACAGAAGAAAAUAAAUCUAGUUACAUGAUCGAAAAAUCGUUUGAAGAUGGCUACACAAGAAGAUAGUAUUUCAUCUUAAUUGUGUACAAUUAUUCCAUAAGAACACCAAUGGUAGUUUUAUAGCCAGCUCUAACAUCAACAGGAUACCAGUACAGGCAUUCCAACAUGGAUCUGAAGUUAUCUGAUCUAUACUUGUUUUCUUUGAUGGUAAUAAUUAGUUGGACAGGAAUUUUAUCACAAAAGCAUGAAAAGCAUGAAAAUGAAGAUUCAUCACCAAGUUGGAAACCAAAAUCCAGACCAGCUCAGCGUGAUUCCAUUGUAACCAAGAAUGAAGGAAAUGAUGUUAAAUUAACUUGUGGUGUGAAUGGCAACCCUAAACCAUCCAUUAUAUGGUAUAAAGAUGGAAGAAUCUUUGAUGAUAAGAAAAGAUCAAAGACAAAGCUGCACCGGUACUCGCUGAUAAUGAAAGAUGCCCAGGUUGAUGAUAAGGGAGAUUACCAAUGUAUAGUGACCAAUGUCCAUGGCAGUCUGAAUUUUACAUUCUAUGUUACAGUAAUAAAAUUGACAUGGCCUUUAGAAGUAGAAGAACCUCAGAAUCAGACUGUUAAUGAAGGUGAAGAUGCUAUAUUUACUUGCCGACCUUUGAAUGAUCCUGAGGCCACAAUUAAAUGGGUGAAAAGGAAUCAAACAGGAUUACAGACAAGUAUUGGUAAAACAUCAGAUAUUUUAGAAAAUAAAGAGAUGUUAGUUCUACGCAGUGUUACAAUGAAAGAUGCUGGACAUUAUGUUUGUUUUGUUGGUAAUUAUUUUGGUUUGAAACAAGUAGAUGUAUGGUUGACAGUCAUACCUACACCCACAACUACUACCACUACUUCUACUACAACGACUACUCCAACGACAACCACUACUACACCGACUACCACUACAACAACUCCUACCACAACCACUCCGUCAACUACAACACCAACUACAACAACUCCAACCACAACCACUACAACAACAACAACAAUGAGAAUACCCUUCUGGCCAGAACCAACACCAGACUGGGAUGAUGACUUUGAUGAUACACAGCGCAAAAAAGAUAAGAAGAAAAAGAAAAAGAAAGAUAAAAAGAAGAAAAAUAAAAAAGAUAGAAAGAAGAAGAAAAAGAAUAAGAAGAAAAAUAGAGAAGAUACAUCAUAUAUGCAACCUGAAAUUUAUGAUAAAAACUAUGAGGACACGAAAACACAAAACCCAGACAAUUGGUUUGGUAGGACAGGCCGUAUAGAUCCUGAUGAUCCAUAUGAUCAAGGAAUUGCCCCUGAACCCUUUAAUCCAACGUCGGAAAAUGAUCAGAUUAUACCAUAUGGAGAAAACAAUAAAGAUGAAACAAUCGAUUACAGUGAUGUGGAUUUUACUGGCAAAACACAGGGUGAAAAUACAAGUCAGAAAAAAUCUGCUGAAAAGGAUAUAGAUGUUUGGACUAUAUAUAUUAUUGUAGGCUCAGUGGCAGGAGGGGUGCUGUUAAUUGGAGUAGUGGCAAUUGUUGUGGCAUUAUGUUGUAACAGAUAUGAGGAUGAUGGUUAUAAACACACAAAUGUUUGACUAUAGGAGAGAUUUCCAUGGUAACAAACAUUUAAAGAGGAAUACUUGAGGAAAUUUUGCCAUGGAAAUUGAAGACCUAAGGUUUAAUAAACCUAAUCAUGUAGACAUUGAAAUACAUUAUAGCAUUGUUGUUGUUGAUAGUUAAAAGACACAAAUAUCAAGAUGUACUUUAGAUAUUAAAAAAAGUGCAAUAAAUAUUUCUAUAGUAUACUUAAAGACACUUGAUGUGCAAGAAGUAUACUUUUCUAUUCGUUUGUAUAAACUUUGAAGACACUAGAUGUGCAAGAAGUUUACAUUUAUAGAAGUAUAUUUAUUUAUAUAAAUGUGUAAACUUUGUAAGACUAUCUUCCUAACAAAGGUGCAGACCAAUUUGACAAUACACACAUGACUAUUAUCAAUUACAUAUAUAGUAUGUGUAAUAUAGUGUAUUGUUACAAAGUUGUAUAGUAACUGGGAUUUUUAUAGGCUAUACAAAGAGGAUGAGGACAUAUUAGAGUGAUCCUAAUUACAUUGUAUGAUCCAAUGUAUCGCAUAGAAGCAGGUAGAUAUAUAAUCCUGGUAUAUUUAUAUGCCUGUAGAUUCUUGACACUGUAAGGAAUCCCGUGUUUAUGUGGGUUUAAUUGAUUGGUUUUAUAAGAAUACAUGUCAUAUUUGUCUUAGCAUUCGAUAUAUAAAACAAGAUGGUUACUGCAAGAGUAGAAUACAUUUGUUAUGUAAAUAAGAAUAAUAAACCACAACACCUGAUUUAAUGGUCACUUAAACUUUACAUGUAGGCUGUGUUAUUUGCUAGACCAUCAAAAUUGAUCUAAAAAUAAGUAUAUAACUAUAUGAUUUACAGUACAUUGUUAUCAUAGAAACUGACAAUUACUAGAAAGCAAAUGCAUGAAUGAAAAAAUAUGGACAGAAUCCCAAAAUGAUAUGGAAAGGUGUUAAACCUUGGUAUAAUUUCAUUUUCAGUACCGGGGGUAAUUGUUCAUAGUUAUCUAAAUCAAUCUUGCCUAUUUGUUCUGAGUUAGGAUAUUAGUUUGAUUAUUUCAAACCAAAAGGAUAGUGCUUUGUUUAUUUUCAGUGAAGAUGCACUGAAAUAUCUGGAAUAUAAAACACAAUUUAAUCAUUUAGUAAAUGAAAAUCCAUUACGGUCAAAGAAUGCAGUGUUCACAUUUUGCCCUGAAUGAUGUAUUUUUUGUUUUUUAAAGGGAGAUAAUUAGACUUUUUUUUAAAGAUUUUUUGGUCAGUUAUUUGAGUCCAUUGAAAUUUUUUAAAACCACAAUUACAUUACAUAUUUUAAUUGAGUUUUUGUUUUAUGGAAGGGAAAUAUUAAAGAAUUUUUAUUCUCAGAAGUUAUUUUAACACCUAACAUGACAUUAUUUUCACUGUUAUCAUUCAAAUCAGGGAUUUUAUAAAGAAUAAUAAUACUCAACUGUUUAUUGACUGUUUGUUGUAAUUUUGUUUAAUUAUUUAUGAGUGUUAAUGUGUUUUGUGUUUUAUAUAUGGUCAUAUAUGAGCCAACAAUAUUCAGUAUGUAUGCUAUGAUUACUGGUUUCUUCGGUUUAUAUCAGGAUUUUUUUUUAGAGAAAAAAAGAUAUGUCUUACAAUUUUCACUUGUACUUUUUUAAAAACAUUUUGAAACAGGAUUGAUAUUUGUAUCCACUUACAUUAUUACCAAAAACCUGAAGUUCACAGAAAUAUUCUAUUGUGAUAUUAACAUUGUUACAUAGUGAUAACAUUGUUACAUAUUGUUAACAUUGUUACAUAUUGAUAACAUUGUUACAUAUUGUUAACAUUGUUACAUAUUGAUAACAUUGUUACAUAUUGAUAACAUUGUUACAUAUUGUUAACAUUGUUACAUAUUGAUAACAUUGUAUUUAUAUUUUGACAAUCAUUUGUUACAUCAUACAUUGUACAUUGUCUAUCAGCAUUCACUACAUAACAUUUAAGAAAUCCUUUCUGUACACAUACAUACUUUUAAAAAAAUAUCAGUGAAAUGUUUAACUUUUAUCAACCAGUGAUGGAAUCGAACUACAGUAAAAUUUUAGAAACGGCUUAUCUUGGACAUGCAGAGGUUCCUACAUGGCUUGAUUUAGGCAAAAAUUAUUUCAUCUUUUUCUACAGAUUUUAAAAAUUAUUUUAUUGUCUCGAUUAGGUUCUGGUUAUAUACCUAGUGAAUGGUAUUAUUUUUUAAACUUAUUUUACAUAACAAAAAAUACUGUACUUUUGGUACAUGAUUAGUAGAGAGCUCAGUUGUGCAAACUUUUAGGCAGUUACUGUAAUACCAAAGAAUUGUUCACUUAAUAACACAACGGGUAAUUUAUUUUGAAUAGCUUUGAUAUUUUAUUUUCAUCUACUUGUUUAAGAUUUAUUUGAUAUUGUAAAGAUUGAAACAGUUGUUUUAUAGUGUUUAUAAGUAUUUGCAUGAUUUGUUAUGUAUAAGUUAUGUCUUGGCUAAAUGGAUUUGUUCAGCACUCCUGCAACUAAGAAAUACUCAUGAACUUUGUAUAUAUUUUUGCCUCUGAAAAUGUGGCAUAUAUAAGUUUAUCAUUUACAGCUGACUAAGAUUGUCUUCAUCUUCAUAAUCUAAUUGAAACUUUGUAUCUUGUAAUUAGAUUAAGGAAAUAACAGUAUUGUAUAUAAAGAUUUGUGGGCAUCAAUUGGUAAUUUGAUGGUUUCAAAUUCAGUUUAUUGGAGACAUGUUAGCUGAGCCAUUAAAGGGAUAUAUGCAACCAUCAAAUAAGAAAUUAAUGCCUACAAAUCUUGAGAUACAGUGUUUUAGUUCUAAUGCAACUUACAGAAAAAACACUGUUGAAUCAUACAUUUUGAAACUCAUUUACAAGAUAUUUGCCAUUGCACAGAUAAUUUCAGAUGGUCAGUCAAGGAAUUGAUCACUCCAAAUAAACUUUAAUUUGAAACAGCUGUCAUUUACAAAUUACCGUAUAAAGACAGCAAAUUGUUUUUUUUUGCUGUAAAACAAAAUGAAAAUAUUUUGCAAGACAUAUUGGUUGAUCAUUGUACAGAAUACCUCUUCUUGAAAUUUAAAUUAUUGCUCAACGUUCUUCACACUUUCAUUUAAGAGACACUACAUUGAAGUUGCUUUUCAAUAAAUCAAGGCCCAUUUUUUUCUGUUGGAUAUUGUUAUCAUUGUAACAUGAAAAAUCUUUUAAAAAAAAUAAUGUGUUGAGGAACCUCGACAAUAAUGAAUUGUCUGUUAAACCUGGGGCAAUGUAGACACAAAUACAAACUGAUCAAAUCAGAUAUAAAAGAUGUUUUCUACAGAUAACAAAAAUAACAUCAGAUAUAAUAGAGGUUUACUACAGAUAACAAAAAUAACAUCAGAUAUAAAGGGUGUUUACUACAGAUAACAAAAAUAACAUCAGCUAUAAAAGAUGUUUACUACAGAUAACAAAAAUAACAUCAGAUAUAAAGGAUGUUUACUACAGAUAACAAAAAUAACAUCAGCUAUAAAAGAUGUUUACUACAGAUAACAAAAAUAACAUCAGCUAUAAAAGAGGUUUACUACAGAUAACAAAAAUAACAUCAGAUAUAAAGGAUGUUUACUACAGAUAACAAAAAUAACAUCAGAUAUAAAGGAUGUUUACUACAGAUAACAAAAAUAACAUCAGAUAUAAAGGAUGUUUACUACAGAUAACAAAAAUAACAUCAGAUAUAAAGGAUGUUUACUACAGAUAACAAAAAUAACAUCAGAUAUAAAGGAUGUUUACUACAGAUAACAAAAAUAACAUCAGCUAUAAAGGAUGUUUACUACAGAUAACAAAAAUAACAUCAGCUAUAAAGGAUGUUUACUACAGAUAACAAAAAUAACAUCAGCUAUAAAAGAUGUUUACUACAGAUAACAAAAAUAACAUCAGAUAUAAAGGAUGUUUACUACAGAUAACAAAAAUAGCAUCAGAUAUAAAGGAUGUUUACUACAGAUAUCAAAAAUAACCUCAGAUAUAAAGGGUGUGUACUACAGAUGACAAAAAUAACAGUGUUUUCUUAAAUUUAACAUUUCUUGCAAUGAUAGUGUUUAAAAUUUAUUAAUAUAAUAGAUAAAAUGAAGAAAGCAUAAUGCACUUAUUUUGACAAAUCAUAUAAAUUUUUUUUAUUAAUCUUAUUCAUGGUUGAAAAAGUUUUUUUUUUGUUGUAAGAGAGAAUGUGUUGAGACAAGUCGGCAUUAAAAUGAUAAAACAGUUCAGCAACAAGGAUUACAAAAUAUUUUGUUGUUUUUUUUCUUCAGAUGAUAAAAAGUGAUGUACAGAUAACUUUGCAAAAUUUUUUAAAAUACAUUUCUAAAGGGUCUGAGGAUUUAAAAAAAUUGAUAUACAGGAUAUUUUUUAUCCUUAAUUUCACAAAAAUUCUAUGUAAAAAAUGAAAAGCAAUUAUAUAUAAGAAACAUGGUUUUAAUAGCUAUUAUAUUAUUGAUGGUGCAUUUUUUCAGUGUUUCAAUAAUUGAUAUAUCAUUUAUUUAUGUUUAGUUCACAGUCCUUCAUAAUGGAGAAUAGAUUAUGAUAAAUAAAUUUCUUAGAAAAUGU
Molecule: RNA transcript, 6428 nt
Organism: Mytilus californianus (California mussel)
Lineage: Eukaryota; Metazoa; Mollusca; Bivalvia; Mytilida; Mytilidae
Gene name: fibroblast growth factor receptor 3-like
Exons: 10
Source: RefSeq, a predicted model, not a curated record